This 379-nucleotide unclassified non-coding RNA is filed under the name uncultured Bacillota bacterium. RNAcentral describes it as "uncultured Firmicutes bacterium contains 16S-23S intergenic spacer region". Lineage: Bacteria; Bacillati; Bacillota. The record is from RNAcentral.
UCCGGUUUGUCACCGGCAGUCUCCUUAGAGUGCCCAACUGAAUGCUGGCAACUAAGGACAAUGGUUGCGCUCGUUGCGGGACUUAACCCAACAUCUCACGACACGAGCUGACGACAACCAUGCACCACCUGUCACUCUGUCCCCCGAAGGGGAAAGUCCUAUCUCUAGGAUUGUCAGAGGAUGUCAAGGGUAGGUAAGGUUCUUCGCGUUGCAUCGAAUUAAACCACAUGCUCCACCGCUUGUGCGGGCCCCCGUCAAUUCCUUUGAGUUUCAGCCUUGCGGCCGUACUCCCCAGGCGGGGUACUUACUGCGUUAGCGACGGCACCGAGGGGGUCGCUCCCCCCGACGCCUAGUACCCAUCGUUUACGGCGUGGACUAC